Molecule: small RNA, 97 nt
Filed under: Burkholderia sp. YI23
Lineage: Bacteria; Pseudomonadati; Pseudomonadota; Betaproteobacteria; Burkholderiales; Burkholderiaceae
Description: Burkholderia sRNA Bp1_Cand612_SIPHT
Rfam family: Burkholderia sRNA Bp1_Cand612_SIPHT
Source: Rfam by way of RNAcentral
AAAAAAAAUGGGCGCAACGCCCAUCUUUUUCAACCGAGAUCGCACUCAGGGCAGAAAGAAAACUACGUGCCCAGCGACUUCAUGAUUUUAGCCAUUU